RNAcentral lists this ribosomal RNA (402 nucleotides) under bacterium. RNAcentral's name for it is "partial 16S ribosomal RNA". It matches the Rfam family "Bacterial small subunit ribosomal RNA", at positions 355 to 776 of the family's 1533-position model. The record is from RNAcentral.
UGGGGAAUUUUGCACAAUGGGGGAAACCCUGAUGCAGCGACGCCGCGUGAUUUAGAAGGCCUUCGGGUUGUAAAAAUCUUUUCUAUGGGAAGAAAAUGACAGUACCAUAGGAAUAAGGUCCGGCUAAUUACGUGCCAGCAGCCGCGGUAAUACGUAAGGUCCGAGCGUUGUCCGGAAUCAUUGGGCGUAAAGGGUACGUAGGCGGGUAAGCAAGUUAGAAGUGAAAUCCUAUAGCUCAACUAUAGUAAGCUUUUAAAACUGCUCAUCUUGAGGUAUGGAAGGGAAAGUGGAAUUCCUAGUGUAGCGGUGAAAUGCGCAGAUAUUAGGAGGAAUACCGGUGGCGAAGGCGACUUUCUGGCCAUAACCUGACGCUGAGGUACGAAAGCGUGGGUAGCAAACAGG